This 301-nucleotide ribosomal RNA is filed under the name uncultured bacterium. RNAcentral describes it as "partial 16S ribosomal RNA". It matches the Rfam family "Bacterial small subunit ribosomal RNA", at positions 509 to 807 of the family's 1533-position model. The record is from RNAcentral.
CAGUAGCCACGGUAAUACGAGGGGUGCAAGCGUUAUUCGGAUUGAUUGGGUGUAAAGGGUGUGCAGACGGCUUAUUAAGUCACUUGUUAAAUUCUUCGGCCUAACUGAAGGUCUGCAAGUGAUACUGAUGAGCUAGAGGGUGGAAGAGAGAAGUGGAAUUCUCGGAGUAGCGGUAAAAUGCGUAGAUCUCGAGAGGAACACCAAUGGCGAAGGCAGCUCACUGAUCCAUUACUGACGCUGAGGUGCGAAAGCGUGGGGAGCAAACAGGAUUAGAGACCCCAGUAGUCCCUGUCUCUUAUAC